UACGUAGGGUGCGAGCGUUGUCCGGAAUUAUUGGGCGUAAAGGGCUCGUAGGCGGUUUGUCGCGUCGGGAGUGAAAUCCACUGGCUUAACUGGUGGCUUGCUUUCGAUACGGGCAGACUGGAGGUAUGCAGGGGAGAACGGAAUUCCUGGUGUAGCGGUGAAAUGCGCAGAUAUCAGGAGGAACACCGGUGGCGAAGGCAGAGUAUUGGACAGAAGGUGACGCUGAGGCGCGAAAGUGUGGGGAGCGAACCGG
This 253-nucleotide ribosomal RNA is filed under the name uncultured bacterium. Its description in RNAcentral is "partial 16S ribosomal RNA". It matches the Rfam family "Bacterial small subunit ribosomal RNA", at positions 524 to 776 of the family's 1533-position model. The record is from RNAcentral.